Molecule: ribosomal RNA, 441 nt
Filed under: uncultured bacterium
Lineage: Bacteria
Description: partial 16S ribosomal RNA
Rfam family: Bacterial small subunit ribosomal RNA
Source: RNAcentral
CCUACGGGUGUCAGCAGUCGGGAAUAUUGCGCAAUGGAGGAAACUCUGACGCAGUGACGCCGCGUGCAGGAAGAAGGUUUUCGGAUUGUAACCUGCUUUAGACAGGGGAGAAAAAAGAGAGUACCUGUAGGAUAAGCUCCGGCUAACUACGUGCCAGCAGCCGCGGUCAUACGGAGGGAGCGAGCGUUAUCCGGAUUUAUUGGGGGUAAAGGGUGGGUAGACGGUGAAGGAAGUUGGUUGUGAAAUACCUGGGCUUAACUGAGGAACUGCAACUAAAACUACUUCACUUGAGUACUGGAGAGGAAAGUGGAAUUCCUAGUGUAGCGGUGAAAUGCGUAGAUAUUAGGAGGAACACCAGUGGCGAAGGCGACUUUCUGGACAGUAACUGACGUUGAGGCACGAAAGUGUGGGGAGCAAACAGGAUUAGAUACCCUUGUAGUC